CUCAAUCUACAACAGAGCUAUUCCUGAUAAACUCAAUAGAAGUUGAAGACAUCACAAUGUGAAGGGAGCUGCAUCACCACCCAACUCUCAUACUGAAUACAUAGUUUUCACACCACAAUCAAACAAGGAAAAGCCUAAAUUGAACCAUCUUAAGCUGUGAUCGUCUAUAUUCCCACAGGGGAAAACAAGAAACAGACCGAUAAAUACAGCCAUAAGUUUGAAGAGAAUUUUACGUGUGGAAAUGAAACCAUUUUGAAAAAUAAGACCCUUCCUAUGCCACUGGUUAAAAAUGAACAUUCUGAAGCUUUUCACUAUAAUGCUGGAGCUGUAAAACAAGAGCUGUAACACUUCUGUGAUAGCCAUGCUGUAACCCUACAGGUAUUAACAGCGUUGCUGGAACUGGACAGCAAUCCACAUACAGGAUGCAAGAAUACUUCAACACCCAAAAUCAACACAAUAUACCUAACAAAAUGCAGAUAA
Long non-coding RNA from Condylura cristata (star-nosed mole), 480 nucleotides. RefSeq lists it as uncharacterized. The record is from RefSeq and is a predicted model, not a curated record. The transcript has 4 exons. NCBI's taxonomy places the organism in Eukaryota, Metazoa, Chordata, Mammalia, Eulipotyphla, Talpidae.